This 500-nucleotide ribosomal RNA is filed under the name Strongylocentrotus purpuratus (purple sea urchin). RNAcentral describes it as "12S ribosomal RNA". It matches the Rfam family "Bacterial small subunit ribosomal RNA", at positions 545 to 1361 of the family's 1533-position model. Lineage: Eukaryota; Metazoa; Echinodermata; Echinoidea; Camarodonta; Strongylocentrotidae. The record is from RNAcentral.
GUUAAAUAGCACGGUGAAAAGGGUGGUUAGAAGAAAAGUUAAUUGGUUGUAGCUUUGGGCUAGCGGUAAAAAACUAAUCCCACAAGAAACCCUUACCCCCCAAAUUAAGCAUUUGAAGCCACGAAAACUAAGGCCUAAACCAGGAUUAGAUACCCUGUUAUACUUAGAAGUGAACAACCUUAAGCACCAGAGAACUACGAACCUAAAGUUUAAAACUCAAAGGACUUGGCGGUUUUCCAAACCUCCCUGGAGGAGCUUGCCAUUGAAUCGAUAACCCACGAAAUACCUCACCAACUUUUGUAACAACAGCUUGUAUACCAUCGUCGUAAGUCUACUUCUUGAGAAAGUUGACUUUAAGGGAGAACCCUGGACGUCAGAUCAAGGUGCAGCCUAUAAGUUGGGGAUAGGUGAGCUACAAUGUUUGAACAAACCAGUGGAAGGAGGGAUGAAAUACCCCUCGGAAAUUGGAUUCAGCAGUAAGCCCCACUAAGACAAUGGGA